CCCUUAGAGUUUGAUCCUGGCUCAGGACGAACGCUGGCGGCGUGCCUAAUACAUGCAAGUAGAACGCUGAAGAGAGGAGCUUGCUCUUCUUGGAUGAGUUGCGAACGGGUGAGUAACGCGUAGGUAACCUGCCUUGUAGCGGGGGAUAACUAUUGGAAACGAUAGCUAAUACCGCAUAACAAUGGGUGACACAUGUCAUUUAUUUGAAAGGGGCAAUUGCUCCACUACAAGAUGGACCUGCGUUGUAUUAGCUAGUAGGUGAGGUAACGGCUCACCUAGGCGACGAUACAUAGCCGACCUGAGAGGGUGAUCGGCCACACUGGGACUGAGACACGGCCCAGACUCCUACGGGAGGCAGCAGUAGGGAAUCUUCGGCAAUGGGGGCAACCCUGACCGAGCAACGCCGCGUGAGUGAAGAAGGUUUUCGGAUCGUAAAGCUCUGUUGUAAGUCAAGAACGAGUGUGAGAGUGGAAAGUUCACACUGUGACGGUAGCUUACCAGAAAGGGACGGCUAACUACGUGCCAGCAGCCGCGGUAAUACGUAGGUCCCGAGCGUUGUCCGGAUUUAUUGGGCGUAAAGCGAGCGCAGGCGGUUUGAUAAGUCUGAAGUUAAAGGCUGUGGCUCAACCAUAGUUCGCUUUGGAAACUGUCAAACUUGAGUGCAGAAGGGGAGAGUGGAAUUCCAUGUGUAGCGGUGAAAUGCGUAGAUAUAUGGAGGAACACCGGUGGCGAAAGCGGCUCUCUGGUCUGUAACUGACGCUGAGGCUCGAAAGCGUGGGGAGCGAACAGGAUUAGAUACCCUGGUAGUCCACGCCGUAAACGAUGAGUGCUAGGUGUUGGAUCCUUUCCGGGAUUCAGUGCCGCAGCUAACGCAUUAAGCACUCCGCCUGGGGAGUACGACCGCAAGGUUGAAA
Molecule: ribosomal RNA, 914 nt
Filed under: uncultured bacterium
Lineage: Bacteria
Description: bacterial SSU rRNA
Rfam family: Bacterial small subunit ribosomal RNA
Source: RNAcentral